GAUGAACGCUAGCGGGAGGCCUAACACAUGCAAGCCGAGCGGUAGAGAUUCUUCGGAAUCUUGAGAGCGGCGUACGGGUGCGUAACACGUGUGCAACCUGCCUUUAUCUGGGAGAUAGCCUUUCGAAAGGAAGAUUAAUAUCCCAUAAUAUAUUGAUUGGCAUCGAUUGAUAUUGAAAGCUCCGGCGGAUAAAGAUGGGCACGCGCAAGAUUAGAUAGUUGGUGAGGUAACGGCUCACCAAGUCGAUGAUCUUUAGGGGGCCUGAGAGGGUGAUCCCCCACACUGGUACUGAGACACGGACCAGACUCCUACGGGAGGCAGCAGUGAGGAAUAUUGGACAAUGGGUGGAAGCCUGAUCCAGCCAUCCCGCGUGAAGGAAUAAGGGCCUAUGGCUUGUAAACUUCUUUUGUACAGGGAUAAACCUACCCUCGUGAGGGUAGCUGAAGGUACUGUACGAAUAAGCACCGGCUAACUCCGUGC
RNAcentral lists this ribosomal RNA (480 nucleotides) under uncultured microorganism. RNAcentral's name for it is "bacterial SSU rRNA". It matches the Rfam family "Bacterial small subunit ribosomal RNA", at positions 28 to 508 of the family's 1533-position model. The record is from RNAcentral.